GUAGGUGGCAAGCGUUAUCCGGAAUUAUUGGGCGUAAAGCGCGCGCAGGCGGUUUCUUAAGUCUGAUGUGAAAGCCCACGGCUCAACCGUGGAGGGUCAUUGGAAACUGGGGAACUUGAGUGCAGAAGAGAAAAGCGGAAUUCCACGUGUAGCGGUGAAAUGCGUAGAGAUGUGGAGGAACACCAGUGGCGAAGGCGGCUUUUUGGUCUGUAACUGACGCUGAGGCGCGAAAGCGUGGGGAGCAAACAGGGAUUAGAUACCCUGGUAGUCCACGCCGUAAACGAUGAGCGCUAAGUGUUAGAGGGUUUCCGCCCCUUUAGUGCUGCAGCUAACGCAUUAAGCACUCCGCCUGGGAUACGGUCGCAAGACUG
Molecule: ribosomal RNA, 371 nt
Filed under: uncultured organism
Description: partial 16S ribosomal RNA
Rfam family: Bacterial small subunit ribosomal RNA
Source: RNAcentral